Podarcis lilfordi (Lilford's wall lizard) is the source of this 75-nucleotide non-coding RNA. The record is from the annotation of a GenBank genome assembly. NCBI's taxonomy places the organism in Eukaryota, Metazoa, Chordata, Lepidosauria, Squamata, Lacertidae.
GGAAAGAUUGUAGCUCAGUGGUAGAGCAUCUGACUUGCCUGCUGAAGGUCGCAGGUUCAAUCCCUGGUGUCUCCU